Molecule: long non-coding RNA, 1411 nt
Filed under: Phasianus colchicus (ring-necked pheasant)
Lineage: Eukaryota; Metazoa; Chordata; Aves; Galliformes; Phasianidae
Description: lncRNA (ENSPCLG00000009448.1)
Source: RNAcentral
AGAGCGAGAGAGCUGCUCUUGGGCUUGGGAUCCAAAGCGGAUGGAUGUAGGGGAAGGAUCUCUGGGACCAACUCUCACCUAGUGCCAGGCACAUGGCCAGAGGUCUCCUCCUCUCUGUGGGUCUCCUCCUCUCUGCUCAGAGUGCAAGGCCACGACUGGAGGCACCAGCACCCAUCCCCCUCCUGCUGCCCCUGCCUCUGAUUGAUGUUGCAGCAUCUUCCCAUCGACAAACACCUGUAUCCUCCUCCAGCUACGGGGCUCCAGGCGAGGGGCCGCAUCCCGCUGCCAACUGCUCCUGCUCAGCUCAUGCUGAAUCCUGGGGAGGAUCCAUCGAUCUCAACGAUGUCCAAUGGAGCAGCUGGAGCUCGGCUGGAGCACCUUCUGCAGGUUGCUGGGCACCGCUGAGGUAAAGCUAAAAACUGCAGUCUGGAGAUCAAGGUGGAGGAGAAGUUUUAAAGCUGAGAAAGAAGAAGUGAUGCUCCUGGAAAGCUGCAUUCUUCCUAAUUGUCCAGUGGAGACAAAGCAAAGCGCUGGCACAGCGUGGGGAUUUUCCCAUCUACUUCAAAGCAGAUUUAAUGAAAUUCCUUUUUUUUUUUUUUUUUUUUUUUAGUGGAAGACACACUGGAAGCAUUUCCACAGUAUUUGCAAAGCCUCUGCACAUCUGGGAGGGCUGGUGCAAAAAGACAAGUGAGCACCAGGGGGCCUUCCCAGUGCACUGCCCCACGACUGCAGCACUUGGGGCUGCAAUGGGCUCAAACGUUCCCAUGGGCACAGCGAAAACACGGGAAGUAAACCCCUUCCCCAGUAAUAACAACAAUAGUAACAACAAAUGAAGAAGCCUUCCCACAGCUGUAGGUAUUUCAUCCUGCCAAAUGCUGAGCACCUGGGGCACAGCUCCAUCUCAGCCAUAUAACCCUCAGCAGGGACAUAGCUCUCCUUUAGCUGAGUUCUCUGAGAGGAAGGUGGCAUUGCAGGGGAUGCCAGCACUCAGUGCUGUCUUUCCUUUAAGUGCUGCUGACUGCAGGAUGUAGGGCUCUUGGGGAGAUUCUGCUCUCAAAGGUGAGGUCAGGUGUGGGAGGUGCUGGGCAGUGUUCAGGUGAUGUAUGGCUUUGUAUGGGGUCAAGGCAGAGCUGGGGCUGCUUAGUGCUCAGGCUCCUGCCUGCCCUCAAACUCCUGAUGUCCUGAACUCUGCUUCACACUGAGACAAACCUUGUUCUUGGGUAGGAAAUGCUGUGCUGUACCUGGAGCAUGUGAUGCUCACAUCUCCUCCCUGUCUGGUGCAGCAGGCAGAGGACAGGGAGCAGGUUAGCAGCCCACUUUGUGUCUGUUAUCCCGGUCCCUGAAAGGGCUGUAGAUGAACUAAGUGAGGGGCUGAGUAAAUAAAGGAUUGACCUUUCACCCUUGGGGGCCA